This 443-nucleotide ribosomal RNA is filed under the name uncultured bacterium. RNAcentral describes it as "partial 16S ribosomal RNA". It matches the Rfam family "Bacterial small subunit ribosomal RNA", at positions 338 to 795 of the family's 1533-position model. The record is from RNAcentral.
CCUACGGGCGGCAGCAGUGGGGAAUAUUGCACAAUGGGGGAAACCCUGAUGCAGCGACGCCGCGUGAGCGAGGAAGUAUUUCGGUAUGUAAAGCUCUAUCAGCAGGGAAGAAAGAAAUGACGGUACCUGACUAAGAAGCCCCGGCUAACUACGUGCCAGCAGCCGCGGUAAUACGUAGGGGGCAAGCGUCAUCCGGAUGUACUGGGUGUAAAGGGAGCGUAGACGGCGAUGCAAGUCUGAAGUGAAAGGCGGGGGGCCAACCCCCGGACUGCUUUGGAAACUGUAUGGCUGGAGUGCAGGAGAGGUAAGUGGAAUUCCUAGUGUAGCGGUGAAAUGCGUAGAUAUUAGGAGGAACACCAGAGGCGAAGGCGGCUUACUGGACUGUAACUGACGUUGAGGCUCGAAGGCGUGGGGAGCAAACAGGAUUAGAUACCCCAGUAGUC